AUGAAGAGAAGAGAGCUGCAUUCCCUACUUGCAAUUCUAGUAACUAUCUUUGUUAUAACUUGUAGAGUGUACCCGCAAAAAAAACUUGUAGAGUGUGAUGGAUUAAUUGGGAUGCUAUGUAAUCAGAGUACGUACCCUAUCAUAUGUAUCAUGACUGAUUGCGACCAAGGUCUGCAUUCUGUGAAGAAGACUCCCAUUUAUAUGUUUAUUAGUGAUACUUUGUUGCGCUUGCUCUACUACUUCUGUACAUUAUUUGUGGAAUUGGUCUUAUGUAGCACUAUUUCAACUGGAGUUGGUCGAGUCCUGCUCAUUUUUCAAAUGUUGUGUCUUAUCCUAAGCUUGUUGAUAGGUGAUCAUUUCAGUACUGGCUUGUCAUGUACUGACCCUGAACUCUGA
RNAcentral lists this ribosomal RNA (396 nucleotides) under Triticum aestivum (bread wheat). RNAcentral's name for it is "partial small subunit ribosomal RNA". The record is from RNAcentral. Lineage: Eukaryota; Viridiplantae; Streptophyta; Magnoliopsida; Poales; Poaceae.